This 1159-nucleotide ribosomal RNA is filed under the name Cryptopygus terranovus. RNAcentral describes it as "16S ribosomal RNA". The stretch from base 753 to 1107 matches the Rfam family "Archaeal large subunit ribosomal RNA", at positions 2150 to 2716 of the family's 2987-position model. Lineage: Eukaryota; Metazoa; Arthropoda; Collembola; Entomobryomorpha; Isotomidae. The record is from RNAcentral.
AAUUUAUUAAAUUUUAAGAAUAAUGUUUUUGUAAUUUUAGUAUAAGUUAGAAUUUAUAAUGUUAAGGACUGUGAAGGGGUAGUGAAAUAUAUGAAUAAUUAUUGUUUUUUAUAAAUAUUUAAUUUUCCCGAAAAAUUGAGAGCAAUAAAAUUUAAUUAAGUUUUGUAGAAAUAAAUUUUUAUAGAAUUGAAAUGGUAUUCGUUCAGUCUUAUAUCUGGUUAUAAAUAAAAAGUUUAGCUUGAAAUUUAAACGAAAUAAUUCUUGAGGGGGAAGUAUUUUGUUUAAAUUUAAAUUUUGAGCGGGUUAGCUUUCAUAAAAAAUUAUUUUAUUUUUUUAUUUAAUAACGGAUUAAUAGGUAGGCUUAAGAUCAGCCAUUUUUAUUAAGUUAUAUUUAAUAAAUCUAAAUAUCAAUUUAUUUGACAGUUAAAUUUUUAUAAUAAUAAUUUUAAUUUCAAAAAUUUUUAAAUAAUAAAAUUAUUAGUAGAAAGAAAAGUUAGUUAAAAUUUUUAGGAAAUUUAAUUUAAAGAAUUCGACAAAUGACAUUUCGACUGUUUAACAAAAACAUUUCUUUUAGAUUAUCUAUAAAGUACAACCUGGCCACUGAUAAUUUUAAGGGCCGCGGUAUUUUGACCGUGCAAAGGUAGCAUAAUCAUUAGUCUCUUAAUUAGAGAAUUGUAUGAACGGUUUAACGUAAUUUCAUUAUUUUUAUUUAAUGGUUGAAUUUUAAUUUAAAGUGAAAAUGCUUUAAUAUAUUUAAAGACGAUAAGACCCUAUAGAGUUUUAUUUUAUUUAACUUGUAGUAAUAAAGGAAAUUUUUAUUACAAAUUAAUAAAAUUUUAUUGGGGCAAUAUAAGAAUAAAAAUAACUUCUUAAAUAAAAAUUCUAUAAGAGUAUAUAACUUGGAGUCUAAAAUUAAUAAAAAACUACCUUAGGGAUAACAGCGUUAUUAAAAUUAAGAGUUCAUAUCGACAUUUUAGAUUGCGACCUCGAUGUUGAAUUAAAAAUUCUUUAGGGUGCAGAAGUCCUAUAAGAUAGUCUGUUCGACUAUUCAAUUUUUACAUGAUUUGAGUUCAAAUCGGCGUGAGCCAGGUUGGUUUCUAUCUUAAAUUUUAUUUUAACUUAUUUAGUACGAAAGGACCAAUUUAUUUUAAUUAUUAAU